GCUAAAAACAGUAUAUUUAUAAUUUUUUAAUGAUAUUUCCUGAUAUUCUGAAAAAUCGGGAGAAUUUGAUAAAAAUCGGUAGACCGGGAGAUUGCAUGAAUUUUCGGGAGACUCAAAAGGUAAAGGUAAAGGUAAAAUCGGCCGAGUUGGAAUGUCUGCAUUCUAAACAAAGUAUGUAUUGUACACAAUUUUUAAUAAACCAUACAUUUCAUCAAAUGUACAUAAUUCAUCCACAGUUUAUAAUAAUUAUAACUGCUGAUGAUUCGCAAUAAACACUUUAAUUAAAAUUGUGUAUAAUUAACACUUUGUUACGAAUUUUAUAAGCUUGUAAAGCUUUCUGGAAGCAUUAUAAUUUCUUCCACAAUAAUUUUCUCAUUAAAAAUUAAUCCUCCUUCAUUAUCCGUGCUUCAAACCUGGUUUCAUCACGCUUAUAGAUUGCAUUUCUGUUCGCUGCAAAUCCUUCAACUGUUUUUCACCCCUUCGCAUCAAAUACUCUAUCCUCAAAAUGUUAGAACGUGGAAUUUUUGCAUUCUUUCGAAAUUCUGCCUGAAUAUACUCCUUGAAGCCAGCCCGUCCUUCGCAAGCUCGAAUCAACCUUCUGUACAGACCAAAGAUAGAUAUUUGCAAACGACUGUAUUUUAUGGACAUAUCUAGCCUUCCUUUCUUCGACUAUCAAGGAUAACCCGUUAAUAUCCACUUACAGGUAACAGACAAAUAAACAAUAAAGUCAAAAAAUUAUAGUCAAUUGUGAUAAACCAUAAUUUGUCCCAAUUAUGAUAAUUUUCAAUGUUGUAUAAAUUAUAAAACACGUUGAAGGUUUUAUAUUCUUUAAUUUCACAAACAGCAAUGUAUAUAAACUGAAAUUUCAAUGAAUUUUUUUUAUUUAGUCGAUUUCCAAAAUUCAUCCGCUCUUGGACGUCG
Non-coding RNA from Paramuricea clavata, 921 nucleotides. The record is from the annotation of a GenBank genome assembly. Lineage: Eukaryota; Metazoa; Cnidaria; Anthozoa; Malacalcyonacea; Plexauridae.